UUACAAUGCCUACUACAAAGCGUUGCUAAGCCGCGAGGUAGAGCUAAUCGCAAAAAAGUAGGCCCAGUUCAGAUUGGAGUCUGCAAUCCGACUCCAUGAAGUCGGAAUCGCUAGUAAUGGCGGAUCAGCAUGCCGCGGUGAAUACGUUCCCGGGCCUU
RNAcentral lists this ribosomal RNA (158 nucleotides) under uncultured Omnitrophica bacterium. RNAcentral describes it as "partial 16S ribosomal RNA". It matches the Rfam family "Bacterial small subunit ribosomal RNA", at positions 1225 to 1382 of the family's 1533-position model. Lineage: Bacteria; Pseudomonadati; Candidatus Omnitrophota. The record is from RNAcentral.